Long non-coding RNA from Balaenoptera acutorostrata (minke whale), 1208 nucleotides. RefSeq lists it as uncharacterized. The transcript is spliced from 9 exons. Lineage: Eukaryota; Metazoa; Chordata; Mammalia; Artiodactyla; Balaenopteridae. The record is from RefSeq and is a predicted model, not a curated record.
UUUAUAGAGCGCCCUUUCUCUUGAGUCUCCAUUUUCUGCAAUCAGGAUAAUGCAGUGCCUUUCAGAGCCAUUUUCAUUUUUGAAGUGCUCUUUCAUCAUUAGCUAAUAAAUACUCAUCAAUGAAUUUUCCUCAGCGUCUUGGAAGUUGGAGGAAAAAGAAAAUCGCUUUCUAUUUCUAGAGAUGCUGGUUUUCCACAUCCUGUCGGACUCAUCUCUCCAGGACGGUAGCGCUCCAGGAAAAAUUCCCUACUGAAGGGGAACCGAGAGCCUGGAGGAUCUCUUAGAAAGAAACUGGUUCAUACCUUGCCAGCUGCAUCUCCCUUGCUUCUUCCAGGACAAAAUGGGUUGAAAGAACCAGCAGGAACUGACAAGCAUCAUCAACUAAGGUGGAAAAGUAACAAAGAGCUUGAAGACUUUCAUGGAUCCCAGGCCCUGGACGGAGGCAGGCGGCUUCAGACAGCAUCAGACAGAGAACCAAGAAAGCCGAGGGGCAGCCGGAAGGUGCCUGUGGCCGCCGAGCCCAGACUUGUCUUUGGAAAAGACUCAGAAGAGCCAGUAAACUUGGCUUCUUCAGUUCUGCUUCUCAUCGGCCCCAUCAGCAGAGAGAAAUAAUGACUCCCGAAUCAUUUCUGAAUCAAAAAGUUAAAACAGUGUCUCAGUGAUGCUACAUCAUGCCAGACGCAGGCAAAUUGUUCGAAGAUGCUGGCCUAGCAAGAUGGCAACAGGUUUAAAAAAAUAGGAUUCAUAAGAAGUUCCUUUUUUCAGAGACCGUAAACUGGGCUGAAUACAAUAUCCUUGCAUAUUUCCCAUCACCCUCCCAACAUGCUUCACAUCUCCCAGACUCCUAGGGUUAAUCCCCAAGACAACCUUGCUUUGAAAGAAAAAAUGUGGUGAGCCUACUUGAAGAUUUGGAUCCCAGAGGCCUCUUGCCUGUCCUGCCUCAGCCAGACACCGGGCUCAAGGAGAUGGACGUUUACAGAGAAAGAAGCAAAAUUAAUAAUGUCCUAUCCUGCAGAUGAUUCAUAAACGCGAUUGCAUUAGAAAGCGCUUCUUCGUUGCUGUUUGUAGCCCGGGUUAAAGAUACCUAAAGUUGAUCUGUGUGUGCCUGUUCUCAACACGCUAAUAUUUGGAACUAUAUCUGCAUUUGUGAAAAUAAUCUGUACUGCUGGUUCUUCUCCAGAAUAAAUGCUACAUAACCGGUUGGCUGA